UACAGAGGGGGCAAGCGUUAUUCGGAAUUAUUGGGCGUAAAGGGCGCGUAGGCGGCCUGGCAAGUGGAAGGUGAAAUCCCUCGGCUUAACCGAGGAACUGCCCCCCAAACUGCUUGGCUUGAGACCGGGAGAGGUGAGUGGAAUUCCCAGUGUAGCGGUGAAAUGCGUAGAUAUUGGGAGGAACACCAGUGGCGAAGGCGGCUCACUGGACCGGUACUGACGCUGAGGCGCGAAAGCGUGGGGAGCAAACGGG
RNAcentral lists this ribosomal RNA (253 nucleotides) under uncultured bacterium. Its description in RNAcentral is "partial 16S ribosomal RNA". It matches the Rfam family "Bacterial small subunit ribosomal RNA", at positions 524 to 776 of the family's 1533-position model. The record is from RNAcentral.